GACGUAGGGUCCAAGCGUUGUCCGGAAUUACUGGGCGUAAAGGGCGCGUAGGCGGCCUGCUAAGUCGGACGUGAAAUCCCUCGGCUCAACCGGGGAACUGCGUCCGAUACUGGUGGGCUCGAAUCCGGGAGAGGGAUGUGGAAUUCCAGGUGUAGCGGUGAAAUGCGUAGAUAUCUGGAGGAACACCGGUGGCGAAGGCGGCAUCCUGGACCGGUAUUGACGCUGAUGCGCGAAAGCCAGGGGAGCAAACGGG
RNAcentral lists this ribosomal RNA (253 nucleotides) under uncultured bacterium. RNAcentral describes it as "partial 16S ribosomal RNA". It matches the Rfam family "Bacterial small subunit ribosomal RNA", at positions 524 to 776 of the family's 1533-position model. The record is from RNAcentral.